UACUCACAAAGUUGGUCAAAUCCUUAACUUUCCAAUUAAUGACAAGAAUCUUAGAUCUUAUCUAUGAAUAUCAACAUCAUUAUGCUAAUAAUAAUUACAAUCAUGGCUAUUAUUAUUGGUAAAACUUUUGGAUCAAAUAUAGAAACCAGUGCUGGACACAAGAUUUUUGAAGCAUAACAAUAAGAGUUUAUAGAUGAAAAAUUGAAAAUGUAAUUCCAAUUUUGUAUUUUUCUCUCAUUCAAAAAUAAUUUUCAUCCAAAAAAUGGCUCGUCUUCAAUUGCUACUUGAGCUUCGGUUGCCUCAAACGAAGAUGAAACAAUAUCUGUGACUAAUGUCAUCAUGUAAAACUUAACUAAAAUGGCACUAUCAAAUGCUAUGAAAUAGAACCAAGAACAUAGCAUGUACAAAACAAUAGAACUGUUAUUCUGUUUUCCUUUUCCUCAUCGUUGUUGGGGCUGAUAAGGCUAAUUAGAGGAUGACAAGAAACUUCUAAUAAUCAAGUCAGGUUCAAAUGGAAGAUUUAAGAAAUUGAGUAUUCUCACACUAAUUUCUUGUCCUUUUCGUACUUGCUAGUUCUUGAGAAGGUCUAUUUUAGCAAGACGUCAAUAAUCAACUAUAAAAGAUUGAGAUUGGAUAUUAGUUCUAUUUCAUCAAUUUUGGCCACAAACUCAACUCAUUAACUCUCCACGAGCCCUUUAUUUAGUAUUAAGAACUAAGAACAAAGGCAAUAUUAAGAAAACAAUAAACUUGUUGAGAGCUUUUAUUGAGGAAGAUGUUUUGUCACAAAGUAUCAAAAUUGAUAUUUGCUAUGGUCUCUCAAAGGAUGAUUUGCUAGAUGAAAACAAAUAAGUUUCAAUUGAACUUGUGAAGAACCAGUCUUCCAACUGUCAAAAAUCCAAAAGCAUUAACACGCCUUUUAAAAGGAAAACCCCUAAACCCACACAGAUUU
Molecule: long non-coding RNA, 949 nt
Filed under: Olea europaea subsp. europaea
Lineage: Eukaryota; Viridiplantae; Streptophyta; Magnoliopsida; Lamiales; Oleaceae
Source: RNAcentral